AAGGCCAUGGUUCAAUGUGAAAAGCAUCUGCUUUGCAUGCAGAAGGCCUCUGGUUCAAUCUCCAGGAACGCUGGAAAGGCCUUU
This is a non-coding RNA of Podarcis lilfordi (Lilford's wall lizard), 84 nucleotides long. NCBI's taxonomy places the organism in Eukaryota, Metazoa, Chordata, Lepidosauria, Squamata, Lacertidae. The record is from the annotation of a GenBank genome assembly.